RNAcentral lists this ribosomal RNA (253 nucleotides) under uncultured bacterium. RNAcentral describes it as "partial 16S ribosomal RNA". It matches the Rfam family "Bacterial small subunit ribosomal RNA", at positions 524 to 776 of the family's 1533-position model. The record is from RNAcentral.
UACGUAGGGUGCAAGCGUUAAUCGGAAUUACUGGGCGUAAAGCGUGCGCAGGCGGUUAUGUAAGACAGAUGUGAAAUGCCCGGGCUUAACCUGGGAACUGCAUUUGUGACUGCAUGGCUAGAGUUUGGCAGAGGGGGGUAGAAUUCCACGUGUAGCAGUGAAAUGCGUAGAGAUGUGGAGGAAUACCGAUGGCGAAGGCAGCCCCCUGGGUCAAUACUGACGCUCAUGCACGAAAGCGUGGGGAGCAAACAGG